Molecule: ribosomal RNA, 433 nt
Filed under: uncultured bacterium
Lineage: Bacteria
Description: partial 16S ribosomal RNA
Rfam family: Bacterial small subunit ribosomal RNA
Source: RNAcentral
AACGAACGCUGGCGGCAGGCCUAACACAUGCAAGUCGAGCGGACCUUUCGGGGUCAGCGGCGGACGGGUGAGUAACGCGUGGGAAUAUGCCCUUCUCUACGGAAUAGUCCUGGGAAACUGGGGGUAAUACCGUAUACGCCCUUUGGGGGAAAGAUUUAUCGGGGAAGGAUUAGCCCGCGUUGGAUUAGGUAGUUGGUGGGGUAAUGGCCUACCAAGCCGACGAUCCAUAGCUGGUUUGAGAGGAUGAUCAGCCACACUGGGACUGAGACACGGCCCAGACUACUACGGGAGGCAGCAGUGGGGAAUCUUAGAAAAUGGGGGCAACCCUGAUAUAGCCAUGCCGGGUGAGUGAUGAAGGCCGUAGGGUUGUAAAGCUCUUUCAGCUGGGAAGAUAAUGACGGUACCAGCAGAAGAAGCCCCGGCUAACUCCGUG